AUUCAACUAAUCUAAUGUGGUUUGAGUGUUGGACUAUGACUCUGAAGACCAGGGUUCAAUUCCCAGCUUGACUA
Phrynosoma platyrhinos (Desert horned lizard) is the source of this 74-nucleotide non-coding RNA. Lineage: Eukaryota; Metazoa; Chordata; Lepidosauria; Squamata; Phrynosomatidae. The record is from the annotation of a GenBank genome assembly.